Long non-coding RNA from Centrocercus urophasianus (Greater sage-grouse), 4227 nucleotides. RefSeq lists it as uncharacterized. NCBI's taxonomy places the organism in Eukaryota, Metazoa, Chordata, Aves, Galliformes, Phasianidae. The record is from RefSeq and is a predicted model, not a curated record. The transcript is spliced from 2 exons.
CCCGGGGUUCGUUUUCCUCAGGGACGGGUGUGGGGGAAGGGGGGCGGCCGGUCCGGUCCCUACCUGCCACCGCGACGCGCUGGCUCCUGCCGGGGAGCGCCUCUUCCUUCCGCGGCAGCCUGGAGGCCGAUUCGCCCAUCCUGAAGGUGGAGCUGCAGAGCCGGAGGAGGCGCCGUGGCGCUGUUAGCAUCGCCCUCUGAGGGCGGGGAAGGGAGGCGAAGGGAAAGUGUGAACUAUCCCCUUUUCUCAUUCUAGAGGCUGAGAUGGAAGAGUCUAAACAUGACACCGUAGAUUUUUAAAGUUUUCAUACCAAGAAUUUGCCUGUCUGAGCAAGCAGCAGAACCCAAUUAUCUUUGUAUUGAUAAUAUACUGCGCUUCAUGCUGAAAUGUGGACUUCGUAUCUGGCAACACAUGAAUUAAGAAGUAUAUCAGAAAAAAAAUCCCACUGAAGUGCCUGCCUGUUGCUUGGAUUCCCGUUUAAUAAUCACGGUAUUCCUAGUGCAACCAUUUUACAGUGUGUGCUGAAGACCUUCAGGAAAUCAGUGUGAAGAAGAAAGGUGCAAAGGAGAAAACAGGAGGAAAGGGAAUAUGAACUUACUGUGUCCUUCUAGGCAGAGCUAUGCACAGAUUCCCAGUCAUUCCAUUUUUUAGGAAUGGGUCAAAAUACAGUUGACAUUUACUGUAUAUGAUCCUUGCUGUUGGAGCAGGAUUUGCUCACCUUUUUGGAUAAUUGUUGUUCCAUUGUAGCAAAAUUUGCUGUGUUUUGCAACCAGUGGAGCCCCUGUGACUAUCUUCCCCUACCCCUCCACCCCCCUACUGACUAUCCUAUGGUAGUAAUGCUGUACAGCCAGGUUUCUGUUGCAGUGUGUAUCUUCUGGAAGAGCACUGUUUCGGUUUUUGUUUUUUGAUUUUAUAACGUGUAGCAAUAGAGGAUCCCUGAGCUUUGGUGGUUUAUUCAGUGCUUACUUGCUGUUAGAAACACACACUUUAUUUUUCGUUCGGCUUCCAUGGAAUCAUAGCUUAUCUUUCCUUGCAUGAAGAGAUUUCUUGUUUUCUAAUUCUGCAAGUAUUGUCAUUGCCCUUCUUUGAACCCUCUCCAGGUUUUUAGUUGACAUAUUUCCUUAUUUAAUAAUUUAUUUCGUUACCCAAUCUGAUGGAGAUAUGAAUAAUUAGUGCAGUGUUCUGGUACUGGUCACAACAAAGCAAGUACAGAUCUUAUAUGGUUUCCUGAUUUCUGCAAGGUUUUGUGUUCAUACAUCCAAGGGCAGUCAGUGAUAACCUUGCAGCCCUGCAAGGCUACUGGCCAAGGUCUCUUCAGGAAUUUAUUACCAAUGUAUAGAAAUACAUGGAUUAUGGCAAAUAUAUAGGAAACUAUGUUCUAUGUCUUUCCUUGGCCUCCUUUAAAUUAAUAGGAUGGUCUUGUACCAAUUUCUAAUAGUCUUUGUUACUACCACUUGUGCAGUUUUUGGGUCAACUGCUAGCAGUUGGAAAUUACUGUCUAUAUUCCUCUCUAUAGUUGUUAGAAAUGUCAAAUAAUGGAGCUCAGAACUGAAGCCUAUGUGACACUGCUGUAAACAUGCCAACCCUGUGAAGGUUGCCUCACUGCGGUCACAUUUUGUGGCUAGUUAGGUAAUGAGAUCUCUGAAAAUGAACAUAUUUUCAUCAGGACAAACCUGCUGCUUCCCCACUUUUAGCAAAGAGACAUGAACUGCUUCUCAGGAGAUUUUUCAAUCAAGGGAGCUGGAGAUUUUAAGUACCACAAUUCUUUUUGGAAGCAACAGACAUGAAUUCCUGUAUCAACAGCUGUAUCUGUUACCCAGAUGGACAGUGAAGAUGAUAAUACAGUAAAGCAAUCUGCAUGGAACACUUUCUAGAGAGAGGAGGGAAGAUUAAUCAGUCAUUCACGUGCCUUCCAUUUGUGAUCUAGAUGAGAGUUUGGAUACAGAUUAAGCUACAUAAUUUACACUAAAAAUGGAACUGACGUGGAAGAGCCAUCAGCAUUGUACCUCAGAGUAGUGCAGUGAUUUGGGAUUUACAGAAGAGCAUAAAAAACAAGGGACAAUUCAAUAGAGUACUGUGCAUGCCAGGGAGAAGGCAAAAAUGCAGGAUACCAGCAGUGUGCUUACACAGGUUGUUCUUUGUUUUUUCCAUUUCAACAUGGCGUUUAUGUAAAAAAGCUAAUGAAGCAAGUAUGCUAUCUGCAAGUUUUCCUUCCUAUCAGAGCACAUAAGCAUUGGUUCCCUCUCUGUGAAGGUUCAGGAUGCAUCUUUACAGCUGAUCCCAAUAUGUUCAAACAAGCCAGGGUGAUGCAGACGAGCAUUUUGGGGUCUGUCCAUCAAUGUUUCUACGUGAAUCAGCCUUAGAGCUCUCCCAAUAACCAGGAGUUAGCAGCUGGCCAGUUUACAGAUGUCUUCUUGGGUGGUGUGGCUUCUCUCAGCUCUUUAAAUGUGCUGGGCUUAAAAGCAGUUACCAGCAGCUGAGGCUCAGCCCUGGGGUUUUUUUAAUCAUAAUUUCCAGCUGUGGUACAAAGUACUCUGUAGGUCAAUUCCAGUUUCUAGUCUGAGAGGACAAAUUACUCAGUACGUUCAGUGGCCUGUGCUGCACCAUCAGUUUAGAUUUCAAUAUGGAUUUCACCAGAAACCAUCAUGAUAAUGGCCCUUCCCUUGGUGAAAUUAUAUUGUUGAUGCAUUUUUCAAUGAAUAUCCUCUGCAUCUUUCACCUUGGAGUUUCUGUGUUUCUGUCCCCUUCAAUGCUGGUUAUGCAGAAUGCUCUUCAUGGAUAGAAAUAAAGUGGGGCAGAUGAGAACAGGAAAAAAAAAGCUUUGGGUGUAUCUGAUAUCACCCAACCUCAGAUCUGGCAUCUCAUCCAAACUGAGCUUCUAAGCAUCACCCAUACCAAAAGAAGAUCAAUCUCCAGAACAUAAUUCAUCCCUUCUUAAAAUAGCAUAGGAAAGCAGAUAGGCUGGACUCAAGUUUAUUUCUUCUAGUUCACAGCAGAAGGUGUUCUUCUGAAUAGCUUGAAACAGAUAUCUUCUGAUAACCAGAAUUAGAUAUGGUAUGGUUUUUUUCCCUCUAUCUACCUAGAAAAAAUUGCAGAAUUUUGCAGUAAAAUGUUUUCUUAUUUUAUGCAUUGACUUAAGUUCUUCCAAGACAUAGAAAAGUCUUAAGUCCGCUCACAUAAAUCCGUACAAGUGCCUAAAGUGUAUUGAGGUCUUCUGUUUGUUUAAAGUAGCCAUAGUGAAGAAGCCACAGAGUGCUAACUUGCAGCCUGUCCCUCUACUUCAGAGUAACCUUGCACGAGGGCAGCUGCUGUGUUACAGCUGCCGUGUGAUCUGCCUUGCAAAUACGGACAAAUGGUGUAUAACUGGAUUUCCUUCAUAAUCUGCCAUAACAAGGAAGACCCACUUAAAUUCCGCAGAUAGCAUCGCAUAUCUCUGAAAUCUGUAAAAACAUCACUUCUCUAACCAAUAAAGCAAGGGCGUUUUUUCCUAUCAGGAUGCCUUGUAAUAGAUUAGAUAGCAGAAAAUGUACUACUGGCGUGUGUUUUUGGCAGCCUGCUUUGCUUAUAUGCAUGGAAAAACACUUAAUCUAAAUAUCGUGGCUCUCUUCGUGGUUGUUUUCAUCUGAAGUUAAAGCUAUGCAAUUAAAAAUAAUAAUAAUAAUAGUAAAGCUAAUGGAAUCGAUUAAGUUUUUUAGGUGGAAAAUUCUGCCAGUGGAAGGUUGGAGCUGAUACAUCGAUACCACAUUCAGAAGAUGCCAUCCCUCGGAAAUGCUCGGAGACCUCUGCAACGUCAACACGGGCUGAUGAUGUUCUCUCAAUGCUUUGCACAGUGUCUUGUCGAUUCCUUGGCUUUGUCAGCUGUUGCUGGAUUGUAUGCAGUGGCACUGAUGACUUUAGAAAAACAAAUGACAGAAUUGUUUACACGGCCUUGCUAAAGGAAAUAAUCACAUUUAGUAGUGCUGGUUUCCCAUACAGGGCUUUAAAAAGGGGCUCUCGUGCUAUAUGCUGUAAUAAGCUUUUUAUAAAUGCGUUCAUGUGGUGCUCAGUACAGCCUGCUGUGCCGAUGCUAUAAAACCAAAGGGGAGCUUCAUAAGCUUUAAGUGCAAUCAUAUAUUACUGUGCAGCAGCAUUCCCUCUUAUUAAUAAAGUUUGUAAGAAAUACCCAGGCAAAGAUUAAAAAUACAUGUAUGACACUAUCCACGGUAAUAAAAGCUGAUGUUGUCGGGA